Molecule: ribosomal RNA, 468 nt
Filed under: uncultured bacterium
Lineage: Bacteria
Description: partial 16S ribosomal RNA
Rfam family: Bacterial small subunit ribosomal RNA
Source: RNAcentral
GACGAACGCUGGCGGCGUGCUUAACACAUGCAAGUCGAACGGAAAGGACCUGCUGUUGUGGGGUUCUCGAGUGGCGAACGGGUGAGUAACACGUGAGUAACCUGCCCUCGACUUUGGGGUAACUUCAGGAAACUCGGGUUAAUACCGCAUAUAAGCUUCUGCUGCACGGUGGGUGUUGGAAAGUUGCGGGGGGUGGUGAUGGACUCGCGGCUUAUCAGCUUGCUGGUGGGGGAGUGGCAUACCAAGGGUUUGACGGGUCGCCGACAUGAGAGGGUGAACGGGGACAUUGGGACUGAGGUACGGAGCAGUCUGCAAUGGGGGGCAGCAGUGGCAAGUAUUGCGGAGUGAGGGGACGCGUGAUGAGAAGACGCCGCGUGCGGAAAGACGGGCUUCGGGUUGUAAACAGCUUUCGGAUGUGACGAAGCGUGAGUGACGGUAAUGGGUAAAGAAGCACCGGCUAACUACGUG